Molecule: ribosomal RNA, 302 nt
Filed under: uncultured bacterium
Lineage: Bacteria
Description: bacterial SSU rRNA
Rfam family: Bacterial small subunit ribosomal RNA
Source: RNAcentral
AAUGAACGUUGGCGGCAUGGAUUAGGCAUGCAAGUCGCGCGAUAAGAUUCCUUCGGGAAUUCCGAAAGCGGCGAAAGGGNGAGUAACGCGUAGAUGAUCUACCCCGAGGACUGGGGAUAGCGGCGGGAAACUGGCCGGUAAUACCAGAUGAUGUCUCGGACCAAAGGUGUGAUUCCGCCUUGGGAUGAAUCUGCGUCCUAAUUAGCUAGUUGGUGAGGUAACGGCUCGCCAAGGCGAAGAUGGGUACCGGGUGUGAGAGCAUGACCCGGCUCACUGGGGACUGAGACACUGCCCCAGACACC